GAAAGCCGUAUUCGAUGAAAGUUGUAUGUACGACUUGGAGGGAGACCUUUCCUAUAUUUCGAGAUCCACUCUAC
Molecule: non-coding RNA, 74 nt
Organism: Leersia perrieri
Lineage: Eukaryota; Viridiplantae; Streptophyta; Magnoliopsida; Poales; Poaceae
Source: Rfam